RNAcentral lists this long non-coding RNA (226 nucleotides) under Lathyrus oleraceus (garden pea). RNAcentral's name for it is "Pisum sativum (pea) long non-coding RNA (PSAT_LNC001711)". Lineage: Eukaryota; Viridiplantae; Streptophyta; Magnoliopsida; Fabales; Fabaceae. The record is from RNAcentral.
AAACUUAGAGCAGAGGCAAACUUAGAGCAAACUUUGUUUCACUUAGGCAUAUAUUCAGUAUUUUAAAGUGGUAAUCGCUUCGCAUUGGGGUGUUACCACAAUUGUGUAAUCGAGUUUUGUGAUCGAGUAUGUAAUCGAGUUUGGAGCACUUUGGAAGGAAGUUAAUCAUGCCGCCAUUUUCAUUUCCGCUUUGCAAUUUAUUCAACCCUCCGAUGGGAGCAGGUUU